Non-coding RNA from Picea glauca (white spruce), 123 nucleotides. Lineage: Eukaryota; Viridiplantae; Streptophyta; Pinopsida; Pinales; Pinaceae. The record is from Rfam.
AUGUACAUGCCUACAACAUAUAUUUAAUGCACCGGAUCCCAUUAGAACUCCAUAGUUAAGCACGCUUAGGUUAGAGUGGUACUGGGAUGGGUGACCACCCUGGAAGUCCUACUAUUUUACAUC